GAUUUAUGGCAAAGCAAAACAGGACAUAACAUGAAACAGAAUAUAAACAAAGCACAACCCACCUUUGGUGGUCUUCUGCAUUACAUUAAUGAUGUCACCAAGCCGUAGACUCAGAUAACCCUGAUGCUGUGCUUGGUAGGCCACUGUACAUUGGACCUGAGGGCAGUCUUAACAAAUAAAUGUUUGGUUUUAGUGGUUUCAGUGGAGCUUUUACAAAUAACUGUGUUUUCAUUAUGUUGAUUUCCCCCUGCAGUCAUUUCAUUUCUGAUGCAAUUCCUUCAAUGUUUCUCAGUGCUACAGAGGACAGCUUUGUGCUUUGUGUGUAAAAUGUGUGUUCAAUGGAAACUUCCUUGAUGUCAUUGACAACUCUGCCCUCUAGUGGCUGCUACAAGUCACAGUGUGUGAGACACCACAGUGCAAAAUGUGAAUUACAGUGGUCCAUUCGUAAAAGGAACGACUUUCUCUUACAGUAUAAUACAGUCACUGGACAAACAUUCCAAGGUAAUAAGUGAAUACAAUCACAUAUAUAAUAUUUGGAAGUGAGAUACAUACUCUCUCUCUUUCUCUCCCCAUCUCUCUUUUUCUCUCUCUUUCUCACACAUAUAAUUGACGCACACACACCCACAUCUGAAUUAACACUCACCCCAUUCCUCAUAUAUCUCCUCAUCUCCAUCUUUUCUUUGAAUCAGCAUUUCCAUCCAGCUGGCUUUCUCGGCUCUGAAAUCAUGUAUUACACCAUCAGACCUCGUAUGUAGUAUGAUUCAGUUAGAGGCUCCCCCUCACAAUGACACAAACAUUGAAGUACGUUUAAUUCCGUUGUCCUUUGUUUAACUUCUAAAUUAAGCACCUUUGCCUUCAGUGUCACCCAAGAAUAGUACUUUACCACAUAGAUCUCAACCUGGGACUUACCUCAUUACCCUGCCAUUACAUUUGAAGCAUUUGAAGAACCAUAGGUCAACUACUAAGAAGUCGUUUUUACCGAACACUUUGCUCAAAGCAAAGAAACAGUGUUUGGUAUUACAUCAUUCUUAUAUUAUAUUAUAUUUACAUAUGCAAUGUGGUGAGCUGGUGGGUGUGCCCCUUUAUUCUGACUCAUACCUGUGUUGCGUGCUUUCUAGGGACACAUCUAAAUACUCUUACAUAACAUUCUCUUUUCGUGUUCUUUCCUAAUCUCAUUAGAGUGGCACAAGAGAAAACUAUAUGGCGCGAGUACAUCAUCUGAUAAUCCUCUUUUGUCCCAUCCAGAUGUUAAGUCUGUCAAUUCCAAUUAAGGAGUGUGUACUCACUGUGAGGGGGCUUGCAACAGGAGACGAGAGAUGCCUCCUCUGUGGUUCUGCAGGAGGGCAAGCUGGAAUGUUCUGUCCAGUUCGCACCCCUCUUCAUCCUCCUCCACACUGCUGACCUCUACAAGAGAGCGAUGGGCAUGGUCGCGCACCACAAAGCGGUCUGGCCUGCAGGUAACAAACCCAGCACAACUUAGCAGUGUUUACUAUAUGUCUUUAUUUUAUAAUAUAAUAUAUGCAGUCCAGUCAAACUAUAACUGGAUGUUAUUACCAAAUUGACUGUUUAAUAUCCUAGUAUUACC
Long non-coding RNA from Clupea harengus (Atlantic herring), 1585 nucleotides. The record is from Ensembl. Lineage: Eukaryota; Metazoa; Chordata; Actinopteri; Clupeiformes; Clupeidae.